UCCUUACAAUCUCAAGAUGGCAGC
RNAcentral lists this non-coding RNA (24 nucleotides) under Arabidopsis thaliana (thale cress). The record is from RNAcentral. Lineage: Eukaryota; Viridiplantae; Streptophyta; Magnoliopsida; Brassicales; Brassicaceae.